AUUGAGAGAUGAGGGUCAUAUACCUCCAACAUGGUGAGUGUAUGACUGAUCGAGCUAACCCAAACAAACCCUUGAGUACACCGAAGAAGUGCUACCAAAAAUAUUAUCCGUGUUUAUUUGCUCGUUGAUUCACUACAAAAAUUCAGCGAGUCACUCAUCUCUCCUUAUU
Molecule: non-coding RNA, 169 nt
Filed under: Mesochorus sp. PSUC_FEM 10030011
Lineage: Eukaryota; Metazoa; Arthropoda; Insecta; Hymenoptera; Ichneumonidae
Source: RNAcentral